UAUUGUACACCCAUUGUAAAUAAGAAUUUGUGGAAAAAAAAAAAGAGGUUUCUUCAUCUUGUUCUUCAGAUAGUUGCUGGUUCUUUCGCCGUGGUCGCAAUUUUAUCUCUCUAAUGUAUUUCAGAUUUGAUGAGGAAAUUCUCUCCUUUUCAUCCCACUUUUCUGCAUUAACAAACUCAAAUUAGGUUUAUGAUCUUGUCUAAUUUCUUCAGGUUUGUAUGUGAAACAAUUAAUUCAAUUAAUGAAAAAAUAAACCAUUUUUUUGUUUUGGUUGUGGAUUGGCAUGGUCGAGGUUUGAUAGAUCGACCGAAAUUUGAGUUUUUCCGAUGCUCUACUGCGCUCAAAUAAGGCAGCAAAUUCUUGAUAUUGCAGGUAAUCGGGUUCCUUCACUAAUUCUUGUUUACCCUGGGCUUUAAACCUUUAACUUAUGCCCCAGAAUUGAGAAUGUAAUUAAAUAUUCUGUUUACUUGGAUAUUAUGGAUUAUAAUUUUGAGGAGUUCAAUCAAACAAUUGGUGAUGAUAUCAAUUUAAUCAGAUGAUGGUUCUUUUUUAGCGAAAUUGCAUUGAAUCUUGUUUCCCGUAAAGUAUAAGCUUGUUUCACUCAUAUGUACUGCCACAAUUAGAAUUUUUAAAGAAACUUGCGUUUCUAACUAAUAGUGUCUCGUCUGUGUGAUUGAACAUGUUCAUUAUUCGUAGCUUUUUAUAACUAGUGUCUAGAAUUUUGUUGUUACAUAGAAGUUUAUAUUGAUCUACAUGCCAUGUUUUGCAUAAAAUUGGGUGGUUUAUGUGAUAAUGUUUCUAAUGAUAGGUAUGAGAGGUUAUGUGAGCUUAUCAUGCAAUGGUUAGUUUCAUUCUGUUGGUCUAGUUGAGAAGACAAGAAACAACUCUCACUAAGCUUUACUAAGAGUAUUGCUUUCUUUGACAACGAAUUCUCUUGUGCAGUCACCUAAUUCAUUUAGUUAAUCCCCUAAAGAAGAACAAGAAAGUUUCAUGGAGAGGGAUAGGGUUCUUCGGAUCUUCCCCUCAAUAAUUAGUACUUUUGAGUUUUAAAUUUUUAAUUAUGCAAUAUAUUCUAAUUAAUUGAUCUUUAGUUUUUGUUCUUAUCCAUGUCCAAAUUACGUAGUCAUAACAUCUAUAUCAUGAUCAACUAUGGUAUAAAUAUAUCCAUAUAGAGGAUAUACUUGACAAUGUAGAUGUGCUAGGUAGGUUUUGGAAUAUGGAUAUCGAUAUGGCAUCCUGAUCAUCAAGGAUAUGUACUACUACAUUAAGUUGGAAUCAUGUUACACUAACAUUGAUACACGGGGCAAGGAAAUAUCUAUGAAAAUGUUGAAGUGUCAUCCAAAAGUUGAGUUUGAAUUUAAAAGAAAAAUGGGAAAAUUGCUUGGCAUAGAAAUUGCUACAAGAGAUCAGUCCCCAAGUUGGCAGAGGUUGAAGCAGAGUUGUUCUUAUUCUUCCAGACUUCGAGUCUAAAAAUUGUAUUUAGUUCCUCUAUCUCUUCCACAUGUAUUGUUUAUGAGUAUGGGCUUCCUUUAUUUUCUUUAUUAAUACUUAUACGUAUUAGUAACGAUUUUACUGUAAUUGAUGGGUUUUUGGUGUUUUCAGCAAAAUGCUUAUGUCACAAACCUAGCUCUAUCAAGUAUUUUUAUUCUCCCAUUACUGCUUCUUAGAUUGAGAAAGAGCUUAAAAAGGCAGGUUAUUUGUAUCUUCUUCCUUAUUUUUCCACUAGUAUUGUGCAGGUACCAAGUGAGCAUCACGACUAUCUUUGUCAAUACCUCUCAGUCUCAGAUCAUUUUUUUAUCUGAUAUAAUAGGCUUCUGCUCUUUCAUGUGUAGUUGCUCGCUUUUGUGUAUAUAUGGAAGAAAGUGGGAAAAUAUUGAUGGGAAAGAGACACAGGAAAAAAAGUGCGAAAAGUGUGAAGAUGGCACGGGAAGGCGACGAAUAUUAAUUCAGUUAUUUUUAUCCAACUUAUGCAUCAGAGAAGAACUACAGACUUCAACUAGAUAUGGUGAUACCUCCGACUUAAGCUGUUGUAAACUGAAUGUCAUAAAUAAAUAGUUGAUGAAUAAUUUUUUAGCUUUCAUUAGUACUUUGGAUAAUCGAGUGAUUCAAUUUAAUUUGUAAUUUUUUCUAAGGGCAGCGUCAUGUAUGUAUGUACUCUUAAUUUCUAUAUAUCAAUAAAAAUUCUCUUUAUACGUCAAUAA
Long non-coding RNA from Spinacia oleracea (spinach), 2201 nucleotides. RefSeq lists it as uncharacterized. The transcript has 2 exons. The record is from RefSeq and is a predicted model, not a curated record. Lineage: Eukaryota; Viridiplantae; Streptophyta; Magnoliopsida; Caryophyllales; Amaranthaceae.